CUCUACAAUAAAGGAAGAGAGAUCUACGGCUAAAAGAGAAAGUAAAAGGGUGUUUGAGAAUGACUAAAGCCGCCAGAAUUCUCAAUACAGGACCCCCCCUCUCCCGGUUUUCUCUUCUCCUUGACAGACUUGAAGAAAGCUUUAGCGACUUUCUAAGCUUCAGCAGCCAUAAACGACCCGUCCUAAAGCUUAUUCUUCCUCAAAUCCACAGACCCCCAUCGUCGGACCUCCCUCAAGCGUCACCCCUGACUUCACCUUCUUCAACCAUCAACACACCCAUCGUCGCCUUCACCCCAGCCACCGAAAACCAGCUCAACACUUUGAAAUCUCAACGCUGAAGGACAUCAGAUAUCCUUUUCCUCUUUGUCACUUCUAUCUGCUUUUAAGACCAACUUAAUACCAAAGAUUAAUAGCUGUGCUUCUACCAUUUCACACUUGAAAACAAAAUAAAGAAGAUUGAAGAGUUUUCAUUAGAUACAAACAAAAAAAAUAGAGUGAUAGGUUUUGUUCAUGUCUUUCAACAUUUAGGCUUCUUUUUUUUGAAUUUGCAAUUCCGAGCAUGGAUUAUGAUGGAGUUUCAUCGAGUUUGAUUCUGGUGCGAGUUUGAGGUUAUAUUCUCGUCCUUGUCUUUUAAUCGACCUUCAAAAAAGUUUUGUAAAGGCCUGUUUUCUCACAUUAUUGUCCUGUUAACGCAUGAUUCAUGAAUAUAUAAUUUAUUUAUUUAUUUA
Molecule: long non-coding RNA, 728 nt
Filed under: Nicotiana benthamiana
Lineage: Eukaryota; Viridiplantae; Streptophyta; Magnoliopsida; Solanales; Solanaceae
Description: long non-coding RNA (NBEN_LNC021958)
Source: RNAcentral